Non-coding RNA from Stegodyphus mimosarum, 73 nucleotides. The record is from Rfam. NCBI's taxonomy places the organism in Eukaryota, Metazoa, Arthropoda, Arachnida, Araneae, Eresidae.
GCCUUCGUGGUGUAGUGGUCUGCAUGCUCGACGCACAACCGAGAGGUCCGUGGUUCGAUUCCCGGCGAAGGCU